Molecule: long non-coding RNA, 1319 nt
Filed under: Salmo salar (Atlantic salmon)
Lineage: Eukaryota; Metazoa; Chordata; Actinopteri; Salmoniformes; Salmonidae
Description: lncRNA (ENSSSAG00000101557.1)
Source: RNAcentral
AUACCAGCCCUGGUGCCAGCCCUGAUACCCGCCCUGAUACCCGCCCUGAUACCAGCCCUGAUACCAGCCCUGAUACCUGCCCCAGAUACCAGCCCUGAUACCUGCCCUGAUACCUGCCCUGAUACCAGCCCUGAUACCUGCCCUGAUACCCGCCCUGAUACCUGCCCUGAUACCAGGCACAGCCAACCACCGCACGGACAGGCUCCACUACACAGCCAACCACCCCACAGACAGGCUCCACUACACAGCCAGACACCCCACAGACAGGCUCCACUACACAGCCAACCACCCCACGGACAGGCUCCACUACACAGCCAACCACCCCACAGACAGGCUCCACUACACAGCCAACCACCGCACGGACAGGCUCCACUACACAGCCAACCACCCCACAGACAGGCUCCACUACACAGCCAGACACCCCACAGACAGGCUCCACUACACAGCCAACCACCCCACAGACAGGCUCCACUACACAGCCAACCACCCCACAGACAGGCUCCACUACACAGCCAACCACCGCACGGACAGGCUCCACUACACAGCCAACCACCCCACAGACAGGCUCCACUACACAGCCAACCACCGCACAGACAGGCUCCACUACACAGCCAACCACCCCACAGACAGGCUCCACUACACAGCCAACCACCCCACAGACAGGCUCCACUACACAGCCAACCACCCCACAGACAGGCUCCACUACACAGCCAACCACCCCACAGACAGGCUCCACUACACAGCCAGACACCUUGCUACUCAACCCAACAAAACGGACACGCUGUGAUUGCCUCCUGGGAUGACCUGUUUUGAAGAAUGUCCCGACCACCUGUUGCUCCUGAGACAAGAUGGCUCCCAGAAUCAGUUCCUUUUCCUUUUCUCCCGUGACAUAAUCCAGUUUGUUUUGCUACAUUACUGACUGACAUGUUGUUGCAGUGUCAUGUACACAUUUAAAGUGGCGGUUAAAUAAAAAAACAACAACAUUGACAACUUUCAUAACAGUUACAUACCAAUAUAUAUUUUUAAUUAAAAAUAAAUAAAAAAAUAAAAAAAUGUGUUGUUAAAUGACUAGCCUGCUCAUAUGGUUCUUGAACAUUUAGUUUGUCAGCAGAUUGUGGUUUUCCUGCUGGAGUUAGAUCUAUACUGCCCCCUACUGUAAUAACAACAGGUCUAUACUGCCCCCUACUGGAGUAACAACAGGUCUAUACUGCCCCCUACUGUAGUAACAACAGGUCUAUACUGCCCCCUGCUGUAGUAACAACAGGUCUAUACUGCCCCCUACUGGAGUAACAACAGGUCUAUACUGCCCCCUACUGUAG